CGGGACCACUUGAUUUUAGCGGAGGAGAUAUCAAUGAAGGUGUGCAGAGUAUCAAUCAACCGGAGGAAAAUGACCUUCUCAGCCUGGUCAACUCACUAUGUGGCUUUGUAGGGUGGACGGGGUGCCGACCCAGGCGGCCGGCGCCCCCAGCCUUAACUGGCCAGGACGCCCGGCUAAGUGCCCGCCAGUAUACAAAACUCAAGAAUUCAUUUUGUGAAGUCCUGAUAUAUCAUUUAAUUGAUUAAAACUUUCAACAACGGAUCUCUUGGUUCUGGCAUCGAUGAAGAACGCAGCGGAAUGCGAUGAGUAAUGUGAAUUGCAGAAUUCAGUGAAUCAUCGAAUCUUUGAACGCACAUUGCGCCCUCUGGUAUUCCGGAGGGCAUGCCUGUUCGAGCGUCAUUUCAACCCUCAAGCUCUGCUUGGUAUUGGGCAACGUCCGCUGCCGGACGUGCCUUGAAGACCUCGGCGACGGCGUCCUAGCCUCGAGCGUAGUANUAAAAUAUCUCGCUUUGGAGUGCUGGGCGACGGCCGCCGGACAAUCGACCUUCGGUCUAUUUUUCCAGGGUUGACCUCGGAUCAGGUAGGGAUACCCGCUGAACUUAAGC
This 605-nucleotide ribosomal RNA is filed under the name Phyllosticta capitalensis. Its description in RNAcentral is "eukaryotic LSU rRNA". The stretch from base 246 to 399 matches the Rfam family "5.8S ribosomal RNA". Lineage: Eukaryota; Fungi; Ascomycota; Dothideomycetes; Botryosphaeriales; Phyllostictaceae. The record is from RNAcentral.